RNAcentral lists this long non-coding RNA (4058 nucleotides) under Sus scrofa (pig). Its description in RNAcentral is "lncRNA (ENSSSCG00000062848.1)". Lineage: Eukaryota; Metazoa; Chordata; Mammalia; Artiodactyla; Suidae. The record is from RNAcentral.
AACAUGGUGGAUGUUGAGAAACAUUUAUUGAACUGAAGUUCCUGUGAACUCUGCUCCUUCCUCUCUUGCCACUGACUUUUAUUUUGUUACUAAACCUUUAAUAUGGACCAGAGUUUCCAUACUUUUUUUUUCUUUCUUUAUGCUUUCUUACUGAUUCCUCUACUCCUAAAGCAUCACCUAUUCUGUGAAGAUGACCCCAGACCUGUUUUCUUGUCAAGCUAUUCUGAUAACAAGACCAUUUGUUUUCAAAGUCGUAUGUCAGACAUCUCUACAUGCAUAUUUCUCCAUAUCUUAAGCAACAGAAACUUAGCACACCAAACUUAGUAUCUUCUCUUUAAACACUCUCCUUUAUGUGUUUGCUGUUUUAUUCACACCCCUAACUUCCUGAUUACCUAGGCUAGUUAGCAUUCUAGGAAAUACCUUGACUUCUUUUUAUCUUACACUCUUUGCCUAAUCAGUGAUCAAUACUUGUCUAUCCUGCCUUUGAAUGUUUUUCACAUUUGGCUCCCCCUUGUGAUCUCCACCUUUGGUAGUUUAGUUUGGACUCUUAUCUCUUACCUACAUUGCAGCAGUAGUCUCUUAACUGACCUCCUCUCUAAUCUGUCUUCCAUGGUGUUGUCAGAACUAUCUUCCUAAAACACAGUUCUGUUGUUACUAUGUGUUUAUUGCUUAACUAACUUACUCAUUGUCAGGUCUCAGCUUCGAUGUCAUUUCUGAAUAAAGACAACCUAAAGUAGUUUUCCUGUAGUUCUGUUUCAUGUCCCUUUCCCAUUGACAUGUAAUAGUUUUUAUAUUUGAACACUGAUUUGUUUAAUGUGUCUUCCCACUGGAGAGAUUUAUGUAAGCGACUGCGGAGAGUGAUGCACACCCUGUGCCUAGCACAGUGCUUUGGAUAUAGUAAUGCUUAAAAAGUAUUUGUUGAAUGAUUGGGUGGAUAAUAGAUGGCUUAUCACUAUAGGGAAACCGGAGAUAGCAAAGGCAGAAAAGAUACAGGAUCCUAGAAUCUUCUUACAUUUUCACAGACCUUGGUCUAUAGGUCUAGCCUUCUGAACUAGUAAUGGGCUUUCCUCCGCCACCCCACCUCCCCAUUUGCAUUUACUUCCCUGAGGAUGGGAGUAGUCAAUACCCCACACUCACUCUACUGCUGAUUGACUAUAGUUGAUCUGGGGGCUGUAGGGUAGUGGCAGCUAGAUUUGUUUACCUGUUAAUGCAUAGGUGGUGCUCCAGGUGUGCAGGCAAACAGGUAUUUGCUAAAUUGAGUUAACCCAGAUUCCUUUUUAGCCUCUUGAGUGAUGCAGGCCUAUGUACCUCAUGUUAAUUAAGGUGUUUAUUAUUUGUAGAACUAGUUGUGUUUGAAAUGAGUUAUUUAUUUGCCUCUUAAAGACUAAAUAUUUUUUAAUUUAGCAAACUUAUUGAAUGUAAAAUGAAAAUUAUAUUUUAAAAUGUUAUCUAGAGACAGAUUAGUAAUGGUAAGCAAAUUAAACUCCCCCUUGUGGAGCAUUCUCAGGUUUUAAAAGUCAAAAGAAUUUCAUAAUAUUCUUUAGAUUUCACUGUCUCUUAAGACUUGCUUCAUCCAUUCAGUAGAUAUACUGAGCUCCUGCUUUGUGUAAGGCAUUGAAUUAGGUACUAGGGUUACAGAGAUAAGAAAUGCAAUUCCUUCUCUCAAGUACUGUGAAAGAAGAACACCAUAUAAGGAUACACAGAAAUUAAGACACACUGAGGGAUUGGUGAAGCCUUCUCAUAACACAUUCAUUCAUUUUUAAGUUGAGUUUUGAAAGAGCUAGGAAGAAAACCUUUCCAGGUAGGUACAGAAGACAUGAGACCACAUGUAGACCAAGGGAAGGAGUAUUGCCAAAUCAAGAAAGAUACCAAGAAGAAUAGUUUAAAUCAUAUUUUCAAAAUUAAGGACAGCUGUCGAAGGGUUUUAAGCCAAGGGCAUCUGAUAGAAUUGAGGAGAUUGAAUUGGAGGUAGGAGAAGGGUAAGACUUGUGGUAGGGAAGUCAAAUAGAAACUAGUUUCAGAAAUUUAAAUAAGAAGUGAUAAGAGCCUAAAUUUAGAUAAUGGCACUGAGUCUAUGGAGAUGGAUAUACAUACUGUAAUUAUUUCGAAAGUGGAAUCUUUGGAGUUGAAGACGGAGUCUAGUGUGAUUACCAGGCUUAGACAUUUUGGUUGGCCAGGUGGGUGGAACAAUUCUUCAAGGUGGAACACAGGAGAAGGAAUACUUUUCCAGUGGGGAAAGUGUUGAAUUAAAGUUAGGAUGAGUUUGAAGUGCUUAUAGGACAUCUAAUCGGUGAUGCUUAGCAUGAGUGGGAUAUAGACUAGACGUCAGGAGAGAGACUGCCCAGGGGCUCUCCAUUUAGGAGUCUCAUCUACCUGUGGUUGUUGAAACCAUGGGUUGCAAAGAGAUUGCUGGGAAGAAUAAAUAGUCAACAUAUCAUACCAAUUCUCACAUUCUUUUUAUUUAUUAUAUAAUUUGGGUCAGUGCCUGCCCACCUCAGUUUUUCAUUUGGAAAUGAUGUUUGGCUAGCAUUGGUUCUCUUUCUGUCUCCUCCCCACCACUACAUAUGAAAGCUAUAGUAUGUUAUUUGAUACCACUCUAAGAAGUGCUGGAUAAUUAAAUUGUAGUAGUAUUAGGCAGUGUGAACUGAUCUGUGUAUGGUAUUUAGAGGGCUUUUUCAAAAGUCUAAGAUAAAGACAUAUUUUCAUAGAUGAUUUCUUUAAAAAAGAAAUCUUAUUUUUUUUAAAUAAAACAAUCUAUUAAUUUUCUGGACUGAACAAGAUGUGUUUAAGUCCCAAAGCUUUGGUCUAUCCAGAAGUUGUUUGUGACUUAGUCCCUAUGUCUCUGACCAAGGCAGAAACUAUUUCUGAAAAUUAGGAGGAGGCCAUCUGGGUAAACUAAUAGAAUCUGACAUAAUGCAUAAGAUAAACUUAAGUAAUUUAGGUUCAUAGCCAGGUUCUAAGGGAAAAAAUAUGCUAUUAAACAUGGAACAGAUGAUUGAAAUAAAUUGUAGUAAGCUUACUUUGCCAAACUUUUGCACUAUUUGGACUGGUGAAUACUUAAAAUAACAGUAAAUGAAAUCUGCCCUGCAUUGUCAUGUAUGUUUCUGUGGCUCUCAUGGGUUUCUAUUUUUUUUUAGCUCCAUUCUGAAGGAAGAACCUAACAAUAAAACUUUAAAUCUUACCAUUUAUGAUAACCACUGGAGGGAGUUCCCUGGUGGCCUAGUGGGUUAAGGAUCUGGCAUUGUCACUGCUGUGGCUCUGGUCACUGAUGUGGUGUGGGUUUGAUCUCUGGCCUGGGAACUUAUGCAUGUCAUGGGUGUGGCCAAAAAAAGAUAACUGCUAGAGUUCAGCUGGAGAUUUUUGUCCUCUCAGAACUGAGAUGAAGUAGCUUUCCCUGCCAGGCCAGUGGAUGUUUAGGAGGGUACGCAGAAUGACUUUUAAGAAGUCACCCCUGCUUGAGAUUGAGACUAGUGAUUUAAUACUGAAAGCAUAGGUCUGCGUGCCAUUUAAGCUAUCCAACUUUUUUUUUUUUUUUUUUGGCCACCAUGUGCUAGUUCCUGGGCAAGGGGUCAAACCUACGCCACAGCAGCUACAGGAGCCACAGCAGUGCUAAUGCCUGAUCCUUAACCUGCUGCACCACAGGGGAACUCCUAAGCUAUCUAACUUUUGAUUCAUUUUAAAAAUCUGCUUUUAAAGGAAAGAAUUCCCUGGAGACUGUGUGUCAGGUUUCAAUAGAGCAAAUUUUAUGGAUGAGUUAUGACCCUUAAAACUGAAGUCAGUAAUAGAAAUGCUGACGGAGUUGAACUAGAAGAGAUAAUUAUACUAAAACGACAUUCUAUUACAAUCUUAUCUGUAGUAAAAUGAGAAAAAAAACUUUCAAGUUUUCUUUUGUAAUACUUAGAGAAUGGUUUCUUGUUAUUUGAACUUUAAUCAACAGUAGGCAUCAGCAUAAACCUAAUAACUAUGUCAAAAUAACACAAGGCUCAUAAUUAUUUUAAAUUAUAAACUUUAAUACCUGUUCCAAAUCUUCCUUUUUAAAUAAAUUUGUUUCUAAACAC